GCUUACGGCCACCACCCUGAGCGCGCCCGAUCUCGUCUGAUCUCGGAAGCUAAGCAGGGUCGGGCCUGGUUAGUACUUGGAUGGGAGACCGCCUGGGAAUACCAGGUGCCGUAAGCU
Molecule: ribosomal RNA, 117 nt
Filed under: Lates calcarifer (barramundi perch)
Lineage: Eukaryota; Metazoa; Chordata; Actinopteri; Centropomidae
Source: RNAcentral